CCUACGGGAGGCAGCAGUGGGGAAUAUUGGGCAAUGGGCGAAAGCCUGACCCAGCGACGCCGCGUGAGGGACGAAGGCCUUCGGGUUGUAAACCUCUUUCAGCAGGGAAGAAGCGAAAGUGACGGUACCUGCAGAAGAAGCACCGGCUAACUACGUGCCAGCAGCCGCGGUAAUACGUAGGGUGCAAGCGUUGUCCGGAAUUAUUGGGCGUAAAGAGCUCGUAGGUGGUUUGCCACGUCGGAUGUGAAAACCUGAGGCUUAACCUCAGGCCUGCAUUCGAUACGGGCAGACUAGAGUGUGGUAGGGGAGACUGGAAUUCCUGGUGUAGCGGUGAAAUGCGCAGAUAUCAGGAGGAACACCGGUGGCGAAGGCGGGUCUCUGGGCCAUAACUGACACUGAGGAGCGAAAGCGUGGGGAGCAAACAGGAUUAGAUACCCUGGUAGUCCACGCCGUAAACGGUGGGCACUAGAUGUGGGGACCUUCCACGGUCUCUGCGUCGCNGCUACGCAUAAGUGCCCGCCGUCGGGUAGGUACGGCCGCGACGACGUAAACGUACGAAAGAAAGUUAAGUACGGCGUUGAGACGUUGCCGAACGGACGACGACGAGGGAGGAGG
Molecule: ribosomal RNA, 615 nt
Filed under: uncultured bacterium
Lineage: Bacteria
Description: bacterial SSU rRNA
Rfam family: Bacterial small subunit ribosomal RNA (bases 1-521)
Source: RNAcentral